UGAGGAAUGUUGGUCAAUGGGCGCAAGCCUGAACCAGCCAUCCCGCGUGCAGGAUGACAGCCCUAUGGGUUGUAAACUGCUUUUAUACAGGAAGAAAAUUUUCUACGAGUAGAGAACUGCCGGUACUGUAUGAAUAAGCAUCGGCUAACUCCGUGCCAGCAGCCGCGGUAAUACGGAGGAUGCAAGCGUUAUCCGGGUUCAUUGGGUUUAAAGGGUGCGUAGGCGGUUAUUUAAGUCAGUAGUGAAAUCCUGUCGCUCAACGAUAGAACUGCCAUUGAUACUGAAUAACUUGAGUACAGUUGAGGUAAGCGGAAUGUGUAGCGUAGCGGUGAAAUGCUUAGAUAUUACACAGAACACCGAUUGCGAAGGCAGCUUACUAAACUGCAACUGACGCUGAUGC
RNAcentral lists this ribosomal RNA (400 nucleotides) under uncultured bacterium. Its description in RNAcentral is "bacterial SSU rRNA". It matches the Rfam family "Bacterial small subunit ribosomal RNA", at positions 355 to 752 of the family's 1533-position model. The record is from RNAcentral.